GGGGACAACAACUGGAAACGGUGGCUAAUACCGGAUGUGCCGAAAGGUGAAAGGCUUGCUGCCUGGAGAUGAGCUCGCGUCUGAUUAGCUAGUUGGUAGAGUAAGAGCCUACCAAGGCGACGAUCAGUAGCUGGUCUGAGAGGACGAUCAGCCACACUGGGACUGAGACACGGCCCAGACUCCUACGGGAGGCAGCAGUGGGGAAUUUUCCGCAAUGGGCGAAAGCCUGACGGAGCAAUACCGCGUGAGGGAGGAAGGCUCUUGGGUUGUAAACCUCUUUUCUCAAGGAAGAAUGCAAUGACGGUACUUGAGGAAUAAGCAUCGGCUAACUCCGUGCCAGCAGCCGCGGUAAUACGGAGGAUGCAAGCGUUAUCCGGAAUGAUUGGGCGUAAAGCGUCCGCAGGUGGUUUUGUGUGUCUGCUGUUAAAGAGUGAGGCUCAACCUCAUAAAAGCAGUGGAAACUACAAGACUAGAGUACGUUCGGGGCAGAGGGAAUUCCUGGUGUAGCGGUGAAAUGCGUAGAGAUCAGGAAGAACACCGGUGGCGAAAGCGCUCUGCUAGGCCUGUACUGACACUGAGGGACGAAAGCUAGGGGAGCGAAUGGGAUUAGAUACCGCAGUAGUC
Molecule: ribosomal RNA, 624 nt
Filed under: Nostoc sp. LCRNK34
Lineage: Bacteria; Bacillati; Cyanobacteriota; Cyanophyceae; Nostocales; Nostocaceae
Description: bacterial SSU rRNA
Rfam family: Bacterial small subunit ribosomal RNA
Source: RNAcentral